GUGACAAGAAUAAAACUCGCCGAGACCUUCCCUUCGUCCAUUUUGGAGCAGCUUCUUCUCUGCUGUGUCGACCACGAGGAGCAUGACUUGCAUGGGCUCAUGGGAAGUUUCGGUGCCCUCUGCUGGGAUGGGUAGACUGAGAUCCGUUAAAUUCAAGGCAUCCUUCUCAUGAACUCCGAGAGCAUGAUGACCAUGGGUUGUGUUGGUAAUUUGCCUCCUUUUGUGGUGUUGGUCAUGGUACAUCAUGAGGAAGUGCCUGCAUGAUGAGCUCUCACCAAAGACCUGGAACUCCCGAGGGCUGUUUUUUGUCCAAGACAGAGUUGCUCAAGUCCUUUUGGUGAUUAUUGGGUUUCACAUCUGUAGUACGCUCAACGGGUGGCACACCUGAUGUGGGGAGUUCACAGGACUGCAGGCGAUUCUUAAACUUCUGCUCCCUUGAACGUAUUGGAGCUGGUAUGUUGAUGGUUCUGUGACUGACUUUAAAGGUCUCUUAAAUUGCAUUUGAGAAGUUGAACUUGCUGAAACCUGACGUUCAUCCCUGUACUACAGAUCUGCUGAACUAAAGUGACUUUUUCCUUUGUAUUUAUUCUGAAGAUUGCAAAAUAAAAGUCUCCUCUGAAUUUGCCAUUUGAAA
This is a long non-coding RNA of Carassius gibelio (silver crucian carp), 634 nucleotides long. RefSeq lists it as uncharacterized. The transcript has 12 exons. The record is from RefSeq and is a predicted model, not a curated record. NCBI's taxonomy places the organism in Eukaryota, Metazoa, Chordata, Actinopteri, Cypriniformes, Cyprinidae.